UUGUGAGGUUAAGCGACUAAGCGUACACGGUGGAUGCCCUGGCAGUCAGAGGCGAUGAAGGACGUGCUAAUCUGCGAUAAGCGUCGGUGAGGUGAUAUGAACCGUUAUAACCGGCGAUUUCCGAAUGGGGAAACCCAGUGUGUUUCGACACACUAUCAUUAACUGAAUCCAUAGGUUAAUGAGGCGAACCGGGGGAACUGAAACAUCUAAGUACCCCGAGGAAAAGAAAUCAACCGAGAUUCCCCCAGUAGCGGCGAGCGAACGGGGAGGAGCCCAGAGCCUGAAUCAGUGUGUGUGUUAGUGGAAGCGUCUGGAAAGGCGCGCGAUACAGGGUGACAGCCCCGUACACAAAAAUGCACAUAUUGUGAGCUCGAUGAGUAGGGCGGGACACGUGGUAUCCUGUCUGAAUAUGGGGGGACCAUCCUCCAAGGCUAAAUACUCCUGACUGACCGAUAGUGAACCAGUACCGUGAGGGAAAGGCGAAAAGAACCCCGGCGAGGGGAGUGAAAAAGAACCUGAAACCGUGUACGUACAAGCAGUGGGAGCCUCUUAAUGGGGUGACUGCGUACCUUUUGUAUAAUGGGUCAGCGACUUAUAUUCUGUAGCAAGGUUAACCGAAUAGGGGAGCCGAAGGGAAACCGAGUCUUAACUGGGCGUUAAGUUGCAGGGUAUAGACCCGAAACCCGGUGAUCUAGCCAUGGGCAGGUUGAAGGUUGGGUAACACUAACUGGAGGACCGAACCGACUAAUGUUGAAAAAUUAGCGGAUGACUUGUGGCUGGGGGUGAAAGGCCAAUCAAACCGGGAGAUAGCUGGUUCUCCCCGAAAGCUAUUUAGGUAGCGCCUCGUGAAUUCAUCUCCGGGGGUAGAGCACUGUUUCGGCAAGGGGGUCAUCCCGACUUACCAACCCGAUGCAAACUGCGAAUACCGGAGAAUGUUAUCACGGGAGACACACGGCGGGUGCUAACGUCCGUCGUGAAGAGGGAAACAACCCAGACCGCCAGCUAAGGUCCCAAAGUCAUGGUUAAGUGGGAAACGAUGUGGGAAGGCCCAGACAGCCAGGAUGUUGGCUUAGAAGCAGCCAUCAUUUAAAGAAAGCGUAAUAGCUCACUGGUCGAGUCGGCCUGCGCGGAAGAUGUAACGGGGCUAAACCAUGCACCGAAGCUGCGGCAGCGACACUAUGUGUUGUUGGGUAGGGGAGCGUUCUGUAAGCCUGUGAAGGUGGCCUGUGAGGGUUGCUGGAGGUAUCAGAAGUGCGAAUGCUGACAUAAGUAACGAUAAAGCGGGUGAAAAGCCCGCUCGCCGGAAGACCAAGGGUUCCU
RNAcentral lists this ribosomal RNA (1320 nucleotides) under Escherichia coli. RNAcentral's name for it is "partial 23S ribosomal RNA". It matches the Rfam family "Bacterial large subunit ribosomal RNA", at positions 1 to 1356 of the family's 2925-position model. The record is from RNAcentral. Lineage: Bacteria; Pseudomonadati; Pseudomonadota; Gammaproteobacteria; Enterobacterales; Enterobacteriaceae.